CCUACGGGAGGCAGCAGUGGGGAAUAUUGCACAAUGGGCGCAAGCCUGAUGCAGCGACGCCGCGUGAGGGAUGACGGCCUUCGGGUUGUAAACCUCUUUCAGUAGGGAAGAAGCGAAAGUGACGGUACCUGCAGAAGAAGCGCCGGCUAACUACGUGCCAGCAGCCGCGGUAAUACGUAGGGCGCAAGCGUUAUCCGGAAUUAUUGGGCGUAAAGAGCUCGUAGGCGGUUUGUCGCGUCUGCCGUGAAAGUCCGGGGCUCAACUCCGGAUCUGCGGUGGGUACGGGCAGACUAGAGUGAUGUAGGGGAGACUGGAAUUCCUGGUGUAGCGGUGAAAUGCGCAGAUAUCAGGAGGAACACCGAUGGCGAAGGCAGGUCUCUGGGCAUUAACUGACGCUGAGGAGCGAAAGCAUGGGGAGCGAACAGGAUUAGAUACCCUGGUAGUCCAUGCCGUAAACGUUGGGCACUAGGUGUGGGGGUACAUUCCACGUUUUCCGCGCCGUAGCUAACGCAUUAAGUGCCCGCCUGGGGAGUACGGCCGCAAGGCUAAAACGUCAAAUGAAUUGACGG
This 569-nucleotide ribosomal RNA is filed under the name uncultured bacterium. RNAcentral's name for it is "bacterial SSU rRNA". It matches the Rfam family "Bacterial small subunit ribosomal RNA", at positions 338 to 916 of the family's 1533-position model. The record is from RNAcentral.